This 253-nucleotide ribosomal RNA is filed under the name uncultured bacterium. Its description in RNAcentral is "partial 16S ribosomal RNA". It matches the Rfam family "Bacterial small subunit ribosomal RNA", at positions 524 to 776 of the family's 1533-position model. The record is from RNAcentral.
GACGGGGGGGGCAAGUGUUCUUCGGAAUGACUGGGCGUAAAGCGUGCGCAGGCGGUGAUGUAAGACAGUUGUGAAAUCCCCGGGCUCAACCUGGGAACUGCAUCUGUGACUGCAUCGCUGGAGUGCGGCAGAGGGGGAUGGAAUUCCGCGUGUAGCAGUGAAAUGCGUAGAUAUGCGGAGGAACACCGAUGGCGAAGGCAGCCCCCUGGGCUAGCACUGACGCUCAGGCACGAAAGCGUGGGGAGCAAACAGG